GACAUCUCUAGUGAUGCAAGAGAUUGGAAUAUACUGUUUGACGAAGAUAAAUACCCUGCCCAAUUCCCUCAGCAUACCUACAAUGCUAGAGCUCAGUGACCAAGUGGAAAGGAAGAAAAAACCAAAAGAGAGCUAAUUCCCGGGAUCACUGGUGUUGACUGGAUUGUGAAGAUCUUUAUGGUGGAUAUUUACUGCAGAGUCCUGUGGCACCACAUAAUUCUUUUCAACUACUUUGGUCUAAAGAACGAAGACGGUAGUACUGCAAGAGAUUGCUUUGAAAUCUCUUCAAUGUUUCUAAUCAACGGUUCAUCCAAGUGUUGCAUGCACAAAACAUGGUUCAAGCUAUAACCGCGGAAUCACAAGUACUGGUAACUGAGAUGCCUUCUAACAACCAGAAGCCCAGAAGAAACUGCUCUUUCAAGACAUACAGUUUAAGGGCAUAAUUGUUUUAAUUUUAUCUGCUUUUACUGUAGUUGAACUGCAACUAUCAUAAUCUAACAGACAUGAUGGACAGUUGAGCUGAAGAUUACAUAUAUAUUUGGCUUUCAUUUAUAUCAGCGUUGUUUUCAAUGGCCUUCAAACUUCAGCUUUUUUGAUGAAAUAAGACCCUUCAUGAUUGAAUUUCUCAGAAGUUUAUUAUCUUACUGUUGUUAAGUAAGUUUUUCACGGGGAUAUAUUCAUAAAAACACUGUCUAACAUUUACUUCAUCAAAGGUAUGUGAAUUUACAAACUACGAUUCUGAUAGAAUUGAAAGCUACAAAAGUAAAGUGACAGAUCUUUUUGCACGAUAACUGUCAUUAUCCUCCACCAUGCUGGGUUCCUGACCUUGCUUCAUCUAAAUACACAGCUGGUCAAAACACUAAACGCUAUUUUAAAUGCUUUGUGGUCGACUGAGGAGCAUUGGUAGACAUAUUCAAUGGUUUCCACAUUUACGGAGACCAAGAUAAUAAAUGCCACGCACACUAUAGUUAGGUACAGCACACAGAACAUUGCUAAAUUCUAGUCCUGCCUCAUCGAUUUGAAAUGAGAAAUGAGCAGACAAAAGACGAAAAAGAUUGACGCUCAGGACUGCCACAUAUAGAAACAACUGCAACGAUUAAAUGCCUAAGGUCUAAUUGGUUAGUGAACAAUUGCUGAAGCCUGUAACCGGAGAUUUGUGCGUUAAACAUAUUACAUCAGACUACACAGACUUUUAUAAGCAAACUGAGAAUCGCCAGGACACAGAAGCGAAGGGCCCCUUCUAUUCGGUUUUUGGCAAAAAGCUUGAGUGUUGAUUGUUGAACAUUGGCCUAGAUAAACUAUGAACUUUUUGAAACACAGGGCGUUUGUUAUUUUUCUGAUGUGAGUUGGCAACAUAUGAUCAAUCAUUGGUCUGUUUUAUAGUUACUUUAAUGUGUACAUUUUCAAUUCUGUUAAGUCUUUUAAGUAUAAGGUUGCUUUCUUUUGUUUUACCUUCAUGUCAUCUUUCGACUUCUCGCAGCUGCAGUCUUCCUAUUUGCCCUCAUCCUUCGCUCUCCUGGCCCUUUUCUAUAGAGUUCAUCUCUUUACCCGACUUGUCACUGACUUCCUAUUUUCUAUUUAAAGCUCUCACACGUACGGCCUCUAUGUGUGCAAUAUAUCUCUUUAUCCAACUUCUCAUCGUCUUCCUACUCUCUCUCUAUCCCUCUCCCUCUAUAUCCCUCUCUCUCUCUCUCUCUCUCAGGUCCUCAGUCCUCCUUCUCCUCUUCAGUCCUCCUACUCCUCAUCCUCUUCAGUCCUCCUACUUCUCCUCAGUCCUCGUAUGUACAAUAACUUCUCAGUCCUCCUCAUCAGUCCUCUUGCUCAUCCUCCUACUCAGUUCUCCUCCUCAGUCCUCCUAUAAUGUACGAUUCCUUCUCUGUCCUUCUCCUCCUCUUCAGUCCUCAUACUCCUCCUCCUCAGUCCUCGUAUGUAUGAUACCUUCUCAGUCCUCCUUAUCCUCCUUUUCCUCCUCCUCAAUCCUCCUCCUCCCCAGUCUUUCUCAGUCCUCCUUCUUAUCUUCAUCCCCCUACUCUUCCUCCUCCCCAGUUCUCCUCCUCUUUCUCUUCCUCCUCCUCAGUCCUCCCCCUCCUCCCCAGUCGUCCUCCUCUUUCUCAGUCCUCGUAUGUACGAUACCUUCUCAGACCUUUUCCUCGUCCUCCUCAUCAGUCCUCCUCCUCCUCCUCCUGCUCAGUUUUCCUCGUCCUCCGUGUCUUUCUCCUCGUCCUCCUCUUUUUCAGUCCCUCUCAGUCGAGUCCUCCUCAGUCCUCCUCUUCCUCAGUCCUCGUAUGUACCAUACCUUCUCAGACCGUUUCCUCGUCCUCCUCAUCAGUCCUCGUCCUCCUCCUGCUCAGUUUUCCUCGUCCUCCUCUUACUCAGUCCCUCUCAGUCCUCCUCCUCCUCAGUCCUCGUGUGUAUGAUACCUUCUCAGUUCUCGUAUUACAUUUAAAUUUGUUUGACAUCGUAUAUAUUUAAAAGACUCGACCUUAUAAGUUUAAAUAGGUCCUAUAGUGCAGUAAUUAGAAGAUAUUGC
This is a long non-coding RNA of Bolinopsis microptera, 2530 nucleotides long. RefSeq lists it as uncharacterized. Lineage: Eukaryota; Metazoa; Ctenophora; Tentaculata; Lobata; Bolinopsidae. The record is from RefSeq and is a predicted model, not a curated record. The transcript is spliced from 3 exons.